Gallus gallus (chicken) is the source of this 3913-nucleotide long non-coding RNA. Lineage: Eukaryota; Metazoa; Chordata; Aves; Galliformes; Phasianidae. The record is from Ensembl.
GAGGCCUGAGGGGGUGGGGGGGAAGGAAGGGAGGCGGGGGAGAAAAUGUAUCACAGGAUGGCCUGGGUUGAAAAGGACCUCUAAGAUUAUCUAGUUUCAACCCCACUGCCCCGGGCAGGGCUCGCCAGCCACCAGACCAGGCUGCCCAGAGCCACAUCCAGCCUGGCCUUGAAUGCCUCCAGGGUGGGGCAUCCACAACCUCUGGGCAACCUGCUUCAGUGGGUCACCAUCCUUUGAGUAUCCAUAAAAAUAAAAGCACAUUGCUCUAGCUCUUCACAUAAGAUACUUCAGUACUGUAUGCAACAGUUGUCUGAAAGAACUGUUGACUUCAGCCUCUUCAGACUUCUUCUCUAAUGCACAGCCCGUACAGUGACCCACACUUUUGUAUCAUCACAGAUCAGCACGCUGACUGUCAAACACAUCAUUAAUCUGGAAAUUAUUCUGCCUUAGCCUGGCUGAUUGGAUUUUGCAUGAGGCUGUAAGGUGGAGUAAGUCAAGGAAUAAAACUUUCCAAGGUUGGAAAGACCACUAAGAUCAUCUACUCCAAACAUCAACCAUGGUGGUCAUGUCAUUCAAUGCCACAUCUCCAUGUUUCUUGAGCAUCUUCUCACAGUGCAGCUGCUUUGUUUUUCCCACCUUCCCACUGCUGCCCUUACAGACAUGCUUGUUAUCAACUUAUUGUCACAGUAAGUCCACUCUGAUUUUAGGGACAACAUGUAAGUACUCAGGCUACAGCAAGUAAGGACUUGCUUGAAUGCAACACCUGGGAGCAUAGAAACAAAGAAAAUAAAUUUCUUACCUUUGGAAGGCCUCAGGUAGGUGAGAAUCUCCAGUAAUAUACCCUCACCACCACUGCCAGCCUUUAAAUGAGAUCUGGGAAGGGGUGGAGGUGGCUCUUGGCUCUGUCCCUUCUAGUCACUCAGGUGCUUUGCAUGCACCUGAGCUCUCCUGGCUUGGCCCUGCCUUCCCACCAGGUGCUCAAUCACUGGUUCAAGCUGUGACAGCAUUUCUGCUGUACUAUCGCAUAUAGCAAAUACCCUUGCCAAGCUAUAGCAAAGCAUUGCAAUAUUUUUACUCCCAGGAUUUUUUUUCUCUCUGCUAAAUAUCUCACCCCUUUCAUCCAUAACAAUUUUCAAAGUUACGUAGUUAUGCAGAAGUUUCACAGGUCUUGAGUACCUACAACCUCAGUUUAUUUAACUGGGAUGAACACUGGUGGUGCUCAGUACUUUGAAAGAUCACCUUUAGAGAAAAGAAGGAAUAUGCCUUCUUUCUCACGGAUUUAAAGCACAGGCUCUUCUUAAUGCAUGCAUAAAUUUGAGAUAAAUUAUUACACCUUCAAUUUAGGCUGUCUUCCGUUUUUCCUUCCAUAGGCCUAGUUUUAGCCACACAGGUUUGAAAAUAUUAGCCUUAACUAUAACCUACACCCCCAAUGGAUUGAUUUUUGACAAUAAAGUGAUUUUUUUUCCUCUUAGAAAGUUCACAGUUGUCAGCCCAUUUUUGGGGGUAAAAAAAAAAAAAGGCCUUUCUAUCUCUGGAAAUAAUUUCAAUGGAAUUUUUUUCUGCUAAGCAAAUCAUUUAUAAAAGGUAAUAAAGAAUGAAAGGCGUGCCUCUAUGUAAACACAGGCAAGCUAUAUACAUUCACUUAACUUUGGAGUUUAUUUCAUAGUACAUAGUCUUUGAUGCAUAAAACCCUUAUUAAUUUGUUUGAUAAACAAAGGAACAGUGUAUUCAUUUUUAUUGGUCACACUGAUUUUUCUCCAUGGUCCCCAGAUUACCAUCUGAGGUCUGAAAGCUAAAGAGAAGAGACUAUUUGGGGUAUGUUACCUAAAUAGAAACAAUCAGAAUGAAAAAAAUAUCUUAAGUCGCCAAAUUCAGUAUCAUAACAAUAUAAUCUGAUUUGGGUUAAAAUCUAAGGAAAAGAAAUAUUAAACCUCCCCUCAAGACUACUGAUAGUGAGAUGAUGAGCACUUAGCAAAAAUGAGCAAAAGAGAAACCCUAGAUAAGAAAACUGCAGUGAGUUUUAUAAGUAGCAGUAAACCAUGUCUAGACCCAUGAUGCAUGAUUCAGACAUGUUCACUGAACUCCUAUGCCUUCACUGGGUGAUUUUACUCUUUUCUCUGGCUCAGGCCUCUGACUGAAGCAAAUCAAAACUAUGCACUUGCUUUAAAGAAAAAUGUGGUUCUUACAUAAAAGUCAGAGUAGGGUGGUGUGAACUGUCACGCAGUGCUUGCACACACUGCUUUUGCCAAGAGAUUAUAAGUUCAUAGUAACAGCCAGUGCCUUUACAGUUUUCCUGGGGCUUAGUGAGGCAAGUCACAGCUGCAUUAAAAAUUAAAUGGAAAGAACAUUUGCAACUUGUAGUCAAACACAAUGAGCAAUAAUGGGCUUGCCAAGUCUUUGAGGACAUAAAUCUUUCCAUCUGAGGCAGCUGAAGGACUUUGUAACCGUAUGAUUAGAGCCUGUGUUUUGGUUGGAUUGGAAUGCAGUUAAGGAUGUUGUGGGUUCAUGUCCACUUGCUGUAGGUGGUAAAAACCAGAAGGAGCUGGAUCCUAUACAGCUCAGAAGCUCUUCUGCUAACCACAGAAUGGCUACCAGGCUUCUACACCAUUAGACAAGAAAGAAAAGGAGACACAGCUGAUAGCUGGGGGCUCAAACAAAAUGGCAGCAAAGUGACCCAGAGGCCACCAGUCUGUGGACUAAUAGACCACUGAUGCAUACAAGGUGUGAACACAGAGCACAAUGGUGAGAGAUAUCAGUUGGAAAGUACAGUAGGUGCUGCUGUCCUACAUAAAAAAAACAGAACUGGAACUAAGGAGGCAUUUCCAGUGUGCAAGAGGAGGCAAAGGCACUGGGGACUUUCGGCUUAGAUUCAGCAAGAUGCGUCUUAUACUUCAUGUAGAACUUUGACUUCAGUAAGACAACCUCCGUGCUUCACACUGGACAUAUAAGGACCUCUCUGCAGGCACUGGAGCUACAGUUGUACAAACUCAGAAUUUCAGUAUGAAGGCCAGAGGAAAGGUGAGGUUACAGGAGGACAUGAAGCCAAAGGAGGUCGUGGAAUGAGUCAUUCUCCGUCUCAGGUAUGUGCAGCUACCAUUUCCUGGUUCCCAUUAUGAGACAACACUUAUCUUAGUACAUUAUUCCCAGGUUUCUAAGAUUUUAUUUUAAAAACUGGAGCACAGGCUUUGGAUCACGACAGGCUACGAGUCAUGCUCUCAGAGGCAAAGACUCACACAAGCUGGUGAGCUCACUGUGCACAUCCUCCGCCUCCAUUCCUUCUCCUUGCUAUUAAUACGAGUGUGACACAACACAAUGUUAAAUGAGAUCAGAGUAACAACAACCAUGGGAGGUCAAUAAAUUUGAAUAGUAUAUAAUCAAAUCUGUGCCUUGAGCAGGUAGAUUCUCGCUUUAUGAGAUCGUGGGAGUUAACUUUCAUUUAGCAGAAAUAAGUAUUCAGCCAACUGAGGCCCUUCUUUUUUACAUACAGAUAGGCUCCUCCGUUCAUCUGCAUUCUAUAAAGCCGUGUUAUUCUUCUGUGUUUAUCAGAUCUGUGAUAGCGGGGAGAACAGAAAACGUGUGUGAUAUCCGCCAGCUGGAUUCCAUCUGUCUUUUCUCUGCGGAGAUGGAGUUUCAAAGGCUACAUCCUAUCUGCUGUCACACCCUCUCCCGACAUGAGAAGCUAAGUGUAAAGUUUGGCCAAAGUGAUGGAAAAAACAAUAUCUCUUUUGUACAUCACAACUAUUUCCCUACCUACACAAAAGUGGCAUUCUUCUUGUUCUGGCAUGCAUGAUGUACUGUUGCACUGUAUCACAACUUUCCUAUUAAAUAAAAGGAGCCUGGCCAAAGGGAUUUCAGAGAAAGUAAGCUUUUUUUAGUUUGUUUGUUCAUUUUUAAGACUGUGGAUCUGUGUGAG